This 86-nucleotide ribosomal RNA is filed under the name Escherichia coli. Its description in RNAcentral is "partial 16S ribosomal RNA". It matches the Rfam family "Bacterial small subunit ribosomal RNA", at positions 1 to 84 of the family's 1533-position model. The record is from RNAcentral. Lineage: Bacteria; Pseudomonadati; Pseudomonadota; Gammaproteobacteria; Enterobacterales; Enterobacteriaceae.
UUAAAUUGAAGAGUUUGAUCAUGGCUCAGAUUGAACGCUGGCGGCAGGCCUAACACAUGCAAGUCGAACGGUAACAGGAAGAAGCU